RNAcentral lists this ribosomal RNA (378 nucleotides) under uncultured bacterium. RNAcentral describes it as "bacterial SSU rRNA". It matches the Rfam family "Bacterial small subunit ribosomal RNA", at positions 362 to 758 of the family's 1533-position model. The record is from RNAcentral.
UAUUGGACAAUGGGCGAAAGCCUGAUCCAGCAAUGCCGCGUGAGUGAUGAAGGCCUUAGGGUUGUAAAGCUCUUUUACCCGGGAUGAUAAUGACAGUACCGGGAGAAUAAGCUCCGGCUAACUCCGUGCCAGCAGCCGCGGUAAUACGGAGGGAGCUAGCGUUGUUCGGAAUUACUGGGCGUAAAGCGCACGUAGGCGGCUUUGUAAGUUAGAGGUGAAAGCCUGGAGCUCAACUCCAGAAUUGCCUUUGAUACUGCAUCGCUUGAAUCCAGGAGAGGUGAGUGGAAUUCCGAGUGUAGAGGUGAAAUUCGUAGAUAUUCGGAAGAACACCAGUGGCGAAGGCGGCUCACUGGACUGUACUGACGCUGAGGUGCGAAA